RNAcentral lists this ribosomal RNA (497 nucleotides) under uncultured bacterium. RNAcentral's name for it is "partial 16S ribosomal RNA". It matches the Rfam family "Bacterial small subunit ribosomal RNA", at positions 28 to 507 of the family's 1533-position model. The record is from RNAcentral.
GACGAACGCUGGCGGCGUGCCUAAUACAUGCAAGUUGAGCGCUGAAGGUUGGUACUUGUACCAACUGGAUGAGCAGCGAACGGGUGAGUAACGCGUGGGGAAUCUGCCUUUGAGCGGGGGACAACAUUUGGAAACGAAUGCUAAUGCCGCAUAAAAACUUUAAACACAAGUUUUAAGUUUGAAAGAUGCAAUUGCAUCACUCAAAGAUGAUCCCGCGUUGUAUUAGCUAGUUGGUGAGGUAAAGGCUCACCAAGGCGAUGAUACAUAGCCGACCUGAGAGGGUGAUCGGCCACAUUGGGACUGAGACACGGCCCAAACUCCUACGGGAGGCAGCAGUAGGGAAUCUUCGGCAAGGGACGAAAGUCUGACCGAGAAACGCCGAGUGAGUGAAGAAGGUUUUCGGAUCGUAAAACUCUGUUGGUAGAGAAGAACGUUGGUGAGAGUGGAAAGCUCAUCAAGUGACGGUAACUACCCAGAAAGGGACGGCUAACUACGUG